This 650-nucleotide ribosomal RNA is filed under the name Saccharopolyspora erythraea. Its description in RNAcentral is "bacterial SSU rRNA". It matches the Rfam family "Bacterial small subunit ribosomal RNA", at positions 21 to 683 of the family's 1533-position model. The record is from RNAcentral. Lineage: Bacteria; Bacillati; Actinomycetota; Actinomycetes; Pseudonocardiales; Pseudonocardiaceae.
GGCUCAGGACGAACGCUGGCGGCGUGCUUAACACAUGCAAGUCGAACGCUGAAGCAUCUUCGGGUGUGGAUGAGUGGCGAACGGGUGAGUAACACGUGGGUAAUCUGCCCUGCACUCUGGGAUAAGCCCGGGAAACUGGGUCUAAUACCGGAUAGGACACAUGGCCGCAUGGUCUGUGUGUGGAAAGUUCCGGCGGUGCAGGAUGAGCCCGCGGCCUAUCAGCUUGUUGGUGGGGUGAUGGCCUACCAAGGCGACGACGGGUAGCCGGCCUGAGAGGGUGACCGGCCACACUGGGACUGAGACACGGCCCAGACUCCUACGGGAGGCAGCAGUGGGGAAUCUUGCGCAAUGGGCGAAAGCCUGACGCAGCAACGCCGCGUGGGGGAUGACGGCCUUCGGGUUGUAAACCUCUUUCGACAUCGACGAAGCCUUCGGGUGACGGUAGGUGUAGAAGAAGCACCGGCUAACUACGUGCCAGCAGCCGCGGUAAUACGUAGGGUGCGAGCGUUGUCCGGAUUUAUUGGGCGUAAAGAGCUCGUAGGCGGUUUGUCGCGUCGUUCGUGAAAACUGGAGGCUUAACCUUCAGCUUGCGGUCGAUACGGGCAGACUUGAGUUCGGUAGGGGAGACUGGAAUUCCUGGUGUAGCGGUG